This 923-nucleotide ribosomal RNA is filed under the name Escherichia coli. RNAcentral's name for it is "bacterial SSU rRNA". It matches the Rfam family "Bacterial small subunit ribosomal RNA", at positions 64 to 989 of the family's 1533-position model. The record is from RNAcentral. Lineage: Bacteria; Pseudomonadati; Pseudomonadota; Gammaproteobacteria; Enterobacterales; Enterobacteriaceae.
GUAGUCCAUAACAAGGUAACCAGUAGAGUUUGAUGUCGGCUCAAGGGAACCAUAGACAGGUAAACUGCCUGAUGGAGGGGGAUAACUACUGGAAACGGUAGCUAAUACCGCAUAACGUCGCAAGACCAAAGAGGGGGACCUUCGGGCCUCUUGCCAUCGGAUGUGCCCAGAUGGGAUUAGCUAGUAGGUGGGGUAACGGCUCACCUAGGCGACGAUCCCUAGCUGGUCUGAGAGGAUGACCAGCCACACUGGAACUGAGACACGGUCCAGACUCCUACGGGAGGCAGCAGUGGGGAAUAUUGCACAAUGGGCGCAAGCCUGAUGCAGCCAUGCCGCGUGUAUGAAGAAGGCCUUCGGGUUGUAAAGUACUUUCAGCGGGGAGGAAGGGAGUAAAGUUAAUACCUUUGCUCAUUGACGUUACCCGCAGAAGAAGCACCGGCUAACUCCGUGCCAGCAGCCGCGGUAAUACGGAGGGUGCAAGCGUUAAUCGGAAUUACUGGGCGUAAAGCGCACGCAGGCGGUUUGUUAAGUCAGAUGUGAAAUCCCCGGGCUCAACCUGGGAACUGCAUCUGAUACUGGCAAGCUUGAGUCUCGUAGAGGGGGGUAGAAUUCCAGGUGUAGCGGUGAAAUGCGUAGAGAUCUGGAGGAAUACCGGUGGCGAAGGCGGCCCCCUGGACGAAGACUGACGCUCCGGUGCGAAAGCGUGGGGAGCAAACAGGAUUAUAUACCCUGGUAGUCCACGCCGUAACCAUGUCGACUUGGAGGUUGUGCCCUUGAUGCGUGGCUUCCGGAGCUAACGCGUUAACUCACCGCCUGGGGAGUCCGCCGCAAGGUUAAACUCAAAUGAAUUGACGGGGCCCGCACAGCGGUGGAGCAUGUGGUUUAUCUAUGCAACCCAAUAACCUUACCUGGUCUUGACUUCA